RNAcentral lists this ribosomal RNA (374 nucleotides) under Escherichia coli. RNAcentral describes it as "bacterial SSU rRNA". It matches the Rfam family "Bacterial small subunit ribosomal RNA", at positions 1172 to 1533 of the family's 1533-position model. The record is from RNAcentral. Lineage: Bacteria; Pseudomonadati; Pseudomonadota; Gammaproteobacteria; Enterobacterales; Enterobacteriaceae.
GGUGGGGAUGACGUCAAGUCAUCAUGGCCCUUACGACCAGGGCUACACACGUGCUACAAUGGCGCAUACAAAGAGAAGCGACCUCGCGAGAGCAAGCGGACCUCAUAAAGUGCGUCAUAGUCCGGAUUGGAGUCUGCAACUCGACUCCAUGAAGUCGGAAUCGCUAGUAAUCGUGGAUCAGAAUGCCACGGUGAAUACGUUCCCGGGCCUUGUACACACCGCCCGUCACACCAUGGGAGUGGGUUGCAAAAGAAGUAGGUAGCUUAACCUUCGGGAGGGCGCUUACCACUUUGUGAUUCAUGACUGGGGUGAAGUCGUAACAAGGUAACCGUAGGGGAACCUGCGGUUGGAUCACCUCCUUACCUUAAAGAAGC